UCGACUACAUGAAGCUGGAAUCGCUAGUAAUCGCGAAUCAGAAUGUCGCGGUGAAUACGUUCCCGGGUCUUGUACACACCGCCCGUCACACCAUGGGAGUCGGGAAUGCCCGAAGUCAGUGACCCAACCGGAAGGAGGGAGCUGCCGAAGGCAGGCUCGAUAACUGGGGUGAAGUCGUAACAAGGUACC
Molecule: ribosomal RNA, 189 nt
Filed under: uncultured bacterium
Lineage: Bacteria
Description: partial 16S ribosomal RNA
Rfam family: Bacterial small subunit ribosomal RNA
Source: RNAcentral